CCUACGGGAGGCAGCAGUGAGGAAUAUUGGUCAAUGGACGAGAGUCUGAACCAGCCAAGUAGCGUGAAGGAUGACUGCCCUAUGGGUUGUAAACUUCUUUUAUAUGGGAAUAAAAUGUUCCACGUGUGGGAUUUUGUAUGUACCAUAUGAAUAAGGAUCGGCUAACUCCGUGCCAGCAGCCGCGGUAAUACGGAGGAUCCGAGCGUUAUCCGGAUUUAUUGGGUUUAAAGGGAGCGUCGGUGGAUUGUUAAGUCAGUUGUGAAAGUUUGCGGCUCAACCAUAAAAUUGCAGUUGAAACUGGCAGUCUUGAGUACAGUAGAGGUGGGCGGAAUUCGUGGUGUAGCGGUGAAAUGCUUAGAUAUCACGAAGAACUCCGAUUGCGAAGGCAGUUCACUGGACUGCAACUGACACUGAGGCUCGAAAGUGUGGGUAUCAAACAGGAUUAGAUACCCGAGUAGUC
Molecule: ribosomal RNA, 460 nt
Filed under: uncultured bacterium
Lineage: Bacteria
Description: partial 16S ribosomal RNA
Rfam family: Bacterial small subunit ribosomal RNA
Source: RNAcentral